UUUAUGGAGAGUUUGAUCCUGGCUCAGGAUGAACGCUGGCGGCGUGCCUAAUACAUGCAAGUCGAGCGAACGGACGAGAAGCUUGCUUCUCUGAUGUUAGCGGCGGACGGGUGAGUAACACGUGGAUAACCUACCUAUAAGACUGGGAUAACUUCGGGAAACCGGAGCUAAUACCGGAUAAUAUUUUGAACCGCAUGGUUCAAAAGUGAAAGACGGUCUUGCUGUCACUUAUAGAUGGAUCCGCGCUGCAUUAGCUAGUUGGUGAGGUAACGGCUUACCAAGGCAACGAUGCAUAGCCGACCUGAGAGGGUGAUCGGCCACACUGGAACUGAGACACGGUCCAGACUCCUACGGGAGGCAGCAGUAGGGAAUCUUCCGCAAUGGGCGAAAGCCUGACGGAGCAACGCCGCGUGAGUGAUGAAGGUCUUCGGAUCGUAAAACUCUGUUAUUAGGGAAGAACAUAUGUGUAAGUAACUGUGCACAUCUUGACGGUACCUAAUCAGAAAGCCACGGCUAACUACGUGCCAGCAGCCGCGGUAAUACGUAGGUGGCAAGCGUUAUCCGGAAUUAUUGGGCGUAAAGCGCGCGUAGGCGGUUUUUUAAGUCUGAUGUGAAAGCCCACGGCUCAACCGUGGAGGGUCAUUGGAAACUGGAAAACUUGAGUGCAGAAGAGGAAAGUGGAAUUCCAUGUGUAGCGGUGAAAUGCGCAGAGAUAUGGAGGAACACCAGUGGCGAAGGCGACUUUCUGGUCUGUAACUGACGCUGAUGUGCGAAAGCGUGGGGAUCAAACAGGAUUAGAUACCCUGGUAGUCCACGCCGUAAACGAUGAGUGCUAAGUGUUAGGGGGUUUCCGCCCCUUAGUGCUGCAGCUAACGCAUUAAGCACUCCGCCUGGGGAGUACGACCGCAAGGUUGAAACUCAAAGGAAUUGACGGGGACCCGCACAAGCGGUGGAGCAUGUGGUUUAAUUCGAAGCAACGCGAAGAACCUUACCAAAUCUUGACAUCCUUUGACAACUCUAGAGAUAGAGCCUUCCCCUUCGGGGGACAAAGUGACAGGUGGUGCAUGGUUGUCGUCAGCUCGUGUCGUGAGAUGUUGGGUUAAGUCCCGCAACGAGCGCAACCCUUAAGCUUAGUUGCCAUCAUUAAGUUGGGCACUCUAAGUUGACUGCCGGUGACAAACCGGAGGAAGGUGGGGAUGACGUCAAAUCAUCAUGCCCCUUAUGAUUUGGGCUACACACGUGCUACAAUGGACAAUACAAAGGGCAGCGAAACCGCGAGGUCAAGCAAAUCCCAUAAAGUUGUUCUCAGUUCGGAUUGUAGUCUGCAACUCGACUACAUGAAGCUGGAAUCGCUAGUAAUCGUAGAUCAGCAUGCUACGGUGAAUACGUUCCCGGGUCUUGUACACACCGCCCGUCACACCACGAGAGUUUGUAACACCCGAAGCCGGUGGAGUAACCUUUUAGGAGCUAGCCGUCGAAGGUGGGACAAAUGAUUGGGGUGAAGUCGUAACAAGGUAGCCGUAUCGGAAGGUGCGGCUGGAUCACCUCCUUU
This 1552-nucleotide ribosomal RNA is filed under the name Staphylococcus aureus. Its description in RNAcentral is "16S ribosomal RNA". It matches the Rfam family "Bacterial small subunit ribosomal RNA". Lineage: Bacteria; Bacillati; Bacillota; Bacilli; Caryophanales; Staphylococcaceae. The record is from RNAcentral.